This is a long non-coding RNA of Lagopus leucura (white-tailed ptarmigan), 1588 nucleotides long. RefSeq lists it as uncharacterized. The record is from RefSeq and is a predicted model, not a curated record. NCBI's taxonomy places the organism in Eukaryota, Metazoa, Chordata, Aves, Galliformes, Phasianidae. The transcript is spliced from 8 exons.
CACAAACAGAGCACCUCCUUCUUCCACAGUCUCCAGUCGUUCCCGGCUCCAGGGCCGUACAGUGAGAGACAGAGCACACCAGAAAUUCAGAUGAAUGCUGUCUAAGCUGGGGCAUCCUCACACAGUGGACGAAUAAAAAGCCUGAAGAGCCUGAGAGGUGGAAAUAUUGUCCUUACAAAGCAGCAGGAAGGCAAGCAAAGAAGCAAACACUACAGUUCAGGAGUAUUAAAAAGAUUAUGACAACUCUUGGGCUUUGAAGGGUUUUUUGGAGGCCCCUCCCUACUUCAAGUGAAAAACACAUGAGAAGGCAUCCAACCAGCACGAACAGGCUCUGGAACAUUAAAAUCAGAAGAGAAGAACACCAUUUUAUCCUAGCAGCUCUUCUGCUAUAACCUCCCCAGGAUCCUACUCCCCAGGAAGGAGCUGUCUUUCAGGAAUAACUCAUCUUGUAAUUGCCAUUUCAACAAUGGAGGAACAUACUUACAAGAAAAGUUGUUGUUGAUCUCCAUAUGGGUGACCUCACUGAAGGUCCCAGGAGAGACCCUCCCAGACUCCAUGGGCAACACUCCAAGGCCAGGGAUGUAUACCAGCUUCCCUUGGGACAAUGAUCUUCACUCUCUAUCCUUAGGCCUCGAGAUUCAGCUAAGUUCAGGAUCUGGCCCACAGUCCUAUCAUGAAGUAUACUAGUGUUGAUGAAAGAUGCCACCUCCAACAGCUCCAGGUCAUGGACCAGCAUUGCACUUGCGACUACCUGACUGAAAUAAGACAGGAAUAAAUCUGGAAUAAACAUACCAUUGUUCUUCUUGUAUAAUGACUGCACUGCUGCCCCCAAAAUACAGGCACAAAGACAUUUAAGAAAAUGAAGACAGAUGCCCCACAUCCAUCUUAUAACCAACUGUUAUUCAUCCCGAUAUACUAACUUGCAUCUUCCUGGCUUGUUGGGACUGAGAAAUAAUGUAUCAUAGAAUCACAGAAUUAUGGAAUACUUUGAAUUGGAAGGAACCUUCAGAUGUCUCCAAGUUCCACCCCUCUGCAAUUAACAGGGACAUGCACAGCUAGAUCACGUUGCUCAGAGCCCUGUCCAGCCUGGCCUUGAAUGUCUCCAGAAACAGGGCAUCUAUCACAUCUCUAGGCAACUUGUUCCAGAGCAAUGGCUCUUGAUCAUUAGGAGUAAACGGGAGAGAUGCAAGGAAUGCGAAGGUCUGGCUCAGCACAGCAUAACAAGACUCCUGGACAUCCAUAGAGAACCUUCUGUUUGUGCAGCAGGCAGCAAGCAAAUCUCUGACAUUGCCUCAAAUAUUCUUAGCAAUGGGAGCAAACACUGCCUCUGGGCUCCAGCAGGUCCCAUACACAACCCAGCCAGUUUAAAGACAGGCUUGCUCUAAUUUAUCUCCUCUUGAGGUGUAAAGUAUACAAGUAAUUACAAUCAGACUUUGAUAAAAAGUUUUGUGUAUGUCCAUUAUUGUUGUACUGUUGUAUUGUUGACCCAAAACUCUAGGCUCUGAUACUUCCUGAAAUGAACUCUUCUUUGAUGGCAGAGAUGAAAUUUGCAGUCUAAUUUGGUAAAUGCUUAUUUAAAUUUGUGCAG